UACAGAGGUCCCAAGCGUUGUUCGGAUUCACUGGGCGUAAAGGGUGCGUAGGCGGUCGGGUAAGUCUGACGUGAAAUCUCCGGGCCUAACCCGGAAACUGCGUUGGGUACUGCCUGGCUAGAGGAAUGGAGGGGAGACUGGAAUACUUGGUGUAGCAGUGAAAUGCGUAGAUAUCAAGUGGAACACCAGUGGCGAAGGCGAGUCUCUGGACAUUUCCUGACGCUGAGGCACGAAAGCCAGGGGAGCGAACAGG
RNAcentral lists this ribosomal RNA (253 nucleotides) under uncultured bacterium. Its description in RNAcentral is "partial 16S ribosomal RNA". It matches the Rfam family "Bacterial small subunit ribosomal RNA", at positions 524 to 776 of the family's 1533-position model. The record is from RNAcentral.